AAGGGGCAGGAGGGGAGGGGCUCUUGUUAUGAAGAUGUCUGUCCUUCCAAACAACCACUACGUAUAUUGAGGCCCUGCUUCCCA
This is a long non-coding RNA of Oxyura jamaicensis (ruddy duck), 84 nucleotides long. RefSeq lists it as uncharacterized. The record is from RefSeq and is a predicted model, not a curated record. Lineage: Eukaryota; Metazoa; Chordata; Aves; Anseriformes; Anatidae. The transcript has 3 exons.